RNAcentral lists this ribosomal RNA (491 nucleotides) under uncultured bacterium. RNAcentral describes it as "partial 16S ribosomal RNA". It matches the Rfam family "Bacterial small subunit ribosomal RNA", at positions 29 to 507 of the family's 1533-position model. The record is from RNAcentral.
GUGAACGCUGGCGGUAGGCCUAACACAUGCAAGUCGGACGGCAGCACAGUAAGAGCUUGCUCUUACGGGUGGCGAGUGGCGGACGGGUGAGGAAUACAUCGGAAUCUACUUUUUCGUGGGGGAUAACGUAGGGAAACUUACGCUAAUACCGCAUACGACCUACGGGUGAAAGCAGGGGAUCUUCGGACCUUGCGCGAUUGAAUGAGCCGAUGUCGGAUUAGCUAGUUGGCGGGGUAAAGGCCCACCAAGGCGACGAUCCGUAGCUGGCCUGAGAGGAUGAUCAGCCACACUGGAACUGAGACACGGUCCAGACUCCUACGGGAGGCAGCAGUGGGGAAUAUUGGACAAUGGGCGCAAGCCUGAUCCAGCCAUACCGCGUGGGUGAAGAAGGCCUUCGGGUUGUAAAGCCCUUUUGUUGGGAAAGAAAAGCAGCAGGUUAAUACCCCGCUGUUCUGACGGUACCCAAAGAAUAAGCACCGGCUAACUUCGUG